GCUUGUCUCAAAGAUUAAGCCAUGCAUGUCUAAGUAUAAAUACCUUAUACUGUGAAACUGCGUAUGGCUCAUUAAAUCAGUUAUAGUUUAUUUGAUGAUACCUCACUACAUGGAUAACCGUAGUAAUUCUAGAGCUAAUACAUGCACAAAGUCCCGACUCUUAGGAAGGGAUGUAUUUAUUAGAUAAAAAACCAACCCCUCACGGGUUCCUUGGUGAUUCAUAAUAAUUUUCGGAUCGAUCGUAGGAUCGAUGCAUCAUUCAAGUUUCUGCCCUAUCAGCUUUGGAUGGUAGGGUAUUGGCCUACCAUGGCAUUAACGGGUAACGGAGAAUUAGGGUUCGAUUCCGGAGAGGGAGCCUGAGAAAUGGCUACCACAUCCAAGGAAGGCAGCAGG
Molecule: ribosomal RNA, 393 nt
Filed under: uncultured eukaryote
Lineage: Eukaryota
Description: partial small subunit ribosomal RNA
Rfam family: Eukaryotic small subunit ribosomal RNA
Source: RNAcentral